Molecule: ribosomal RNA, 253 nt
Filed under: uncultured bacterium
Lineage: Bacteria
Description: partial 16S ribosomal RNA
Rfam family: Bacterial small subunit ribosomal RNA
Source: RNAcentral
UACGUAGGGGGCGAGCGUUGUCCGGAAUCAUUGGGCGUAAAGCGCGUGUAGGCGGCUCGAUAAGUCUGCUGUGAAAGUCCAAGGCUCAACCUUGGGAUGCCGGUGGAUACUGUCGAGCUCGAGUCCGGAAGAGGAGUGUGGAAUUCCUGGUGUAGCGGUGAAAUGCGCAGAUAUCAGGAGGAACACCAAUGGCGAAGGCAGCACUCUGGGACGUGACUGACGCUGAGACGCGAAAGCGUGGGGAGCAAACAGG